CCCACGGGGACCCCAGGACCGAGUUUGGGAAACCCUGCCCGAGUGCAUGACCCCAUCGCCCUCAAGCCACUUAUUGAUGUGAUCGGAAAGGAUAAGGUGAUGUUAGGAACAGACUAUUCAUUCCCACUGGGUGAGCUGCAGCCCGAAUCAUAAAAGAGACCAUGAAGGAGUUUGAUGGUGGGAAUAGAUAAAUUACCGAUCGAGGAGACAUUCAAAAACAGUCCACAGGACAAACUGCUUGCAUGGAAUACACUGGACUUUUUAGGGCUUAAAAGAGAACAAUUUGAAUGACUUAAAGCAUGAAGAUCUUGUCAAAACAAAAGGGACAACAACAUUUGAAUUUCAAAUUACUCUUAGUAUUGGUACACGUGUUACAGAUACAACCUAUUGCGUGACUCAAACGUACCUAUUUAAUUAUGAAGAUACUUUUAAUCUAUUUAGCUAAUUUCUCAUUUUUGUUUACACUGUUGAAAGUCAUCUGUGGUCAACACUAUUUUUGCUGUUUAUCGACUAAUUAAAAUGUAAUGUUCAUUUCAAAGAGAGCAUUAUUUACUCAAUGGAAAUAUAAACUAGAGUAGGUUCAGAAAUGGUGUGUGCUUGCUUCAGUUUAUAGGCUAGUUGUUGUAGAUAGUUCUAUAGUUAUAAAGCCUUUAUAACUUAACAAUGUAUUUAUAUUAUUUAUAACAAAAAGUACUGGUUAAUUCCUUUCUGUUCCUUUUUUAACCUGUGAAAUCAACAGUUUUUUACAUUUAGCUCAUUAAAUUACUUAAACAAUCAGAUGUGGAUAGAGCAGGCAAGCUAGUUGUUUACAUGCGUGAUGGACAGACAAAGUAUAGCCUAUGGCUCAAGAUGCAACUGACAUUUUGCGGGUGGGGUGAGAGCUAGAGAGGGUUGAGGAGGAGGCUUGACGCACUGGGCAUCUUGUUAUGACAUGCAUUAUCUAGCUAAUUAAAAAUCUAUUUCAUCUGAAUCAAGCUUGUAAAGUCAGUACAGUAGCCUAUGAUUCGAAGGGGGGAGGGGCAGGUAGCAUAAACACGCACAGGCAAAG
Coregonus clupeaformis (lake whitefish) is the source of this 1048-nucleotide long non-coding RNA. RefSeq lists it as uncharacterized. Lineage: Eukaryota; Metazoa; Chordata; Actinopteri; Salmoniformes; Salmonidae. The transcript is spliced from 3 exons. The record is from RefSeq and is a predicted model, not a curated record.